RNAcentral lists this ribosomal RNA (473 nucleotides) under uncultured Methanomethylovorans sp. Its description in RNAcentral is "bacterial SSU rRNA". It matches the Rfam family "Archaeal small subunit ribosomal RNA", at positions 871 to 1337 of the family's 1478-position model. Lineage: Archaea; Methanobacteriati; Methanobacteriota; Methanomicrobia; Methanosarcinales; Methanosarcinaceae. The record is from RNAcentral.
GACGGGGAGCACUACAACGGGUGGAGCCUGCGGUUUAAUUGGACUCAACGAACCGGAAACUCACCGGGGGCGACAGCAAUAUGUAGGUCAAGCUAAAGACUUUACCAGAAUCGCUGAGAGGAGGUGCAUGGCCGUCGUCAGUUCGUACUGUGAAGCAUCCUGUUAAGUCAGGCAACGAGCGAGACCCGUGCCCACUGUUGCCAGCAUGUCCUUCGGGAUGAUGGGUACUCUGUGGGGACCGCCGAUGCUAAAUCGGAGGAAGGUGCGGGCUACGGUAGGUCAGUAUGCCCCGAAUCUCCCGGGCUACACGCGGGCUACAAUGACUGGGACAAUGGGCUCCUACCCCGAAAGGGGAUGGUAAUCUCAUAAACCCAGCCUUAGUUCGGAUCGAGGGCUGUAACCCGCCCUCGUGAAGCUGGAAUCCGUAGUAAUCGCGUUUCAACAUAGCGCGGUGAAUACCGUCCCUGCUCCUU